UCACUUUCAACAACGGAUCUCUUGGCUCUCGCAUCGAUGAAGAACGUAGCGAAGUGCGAUAAGUAAUGUGAAUUGCAAAUUCUGUGAAUCAUCGAAUCUUGAACGCAAAU
This 110-nucleotide ribosomal RNA is filed under the name uncultured Glomus. RNAcentral describes it as "partial 5.8S ribosomal RNA". It matches the Rfam family "5.8S ribosomal RNA", at positions 1 to 111 of the family's 154-position model. From Rfam's summary of the family: 5.8S ribosomal RNA (5.8S rRNA) is a component of the large subunit of the eukaryotic ribosome. It is transcribed by RNA polymerase I as part of the 45S precursor that also contains 18S and 28S rRNA. Lineage: Eukaryota; Fungi; Glomeromycota; Glomeromycetes; Glomerales; Glomeraceae. The record is from RNAcentral.